Molecule: transfer RNA, 72 nt
Filed under: Stegodyphus dumicola
Lineage: Eukaryota; Metazoa; Arthropoda; Arachnida; Araneae; Eresidae
Description: tRNA-Gly
Rfam family: tRNA
About the family: Transfer RNA (tRNA) molecules are approximately 80 nucleotides in length. Their secondary structure includes four short double-helical elements and three loops (D, anti-codon, and T loops). Further hydrogen bonds mediate the characteristic L-shaped molecular structure. tRNAs have two regions of fundamental functional importance: the anti-codon, which is responsible for specific mRNA codon recognition, and the 3' end, to which the tRNAs corresponding amino acid is attached (by aminoacyl-tRNA synthetases). tRNAs cope with the degeneracy of the genetic code in two manners: having more than one tRNA (with a specific anti-codon) for a particular amino acid; and 'wobble' base-pairing, i.e. permitting non-standard base-pairing at the 3rd anti-codon position.
Source: RNAcentral
GUGUCGGUGGUAUAACGGUUAGUAUAGCUGCCUCCCAAGCAGUUGAUCCGGGUUCGACUCCCGGCCGACGCA